Long non-coding RNA from Ahaetulla prasina, 4505 nucleotides. RefSeq lists it as uncharacterized. The record is from RefSeq and is a predicted model, not a curated record. Lineage: Eukaryota; Metazoa; Chordata; Lepidosauria; Squamata; Colubridae. The transcript has 4 exons.
CCCGCCCCCUCCCCUAGAGGAGCAGUGGCAGUUUCAACCCAGGCGCCCCCUCCCACCGCCCUGAGCUUUCUUGGUGGUCUCCCAUCCCAAGAGGGGCCCUGUCGUUCUCCCUCACUUUCCUGGGCUGCUACUGAACUACCCCUGGGGAGUGGGGGUCCCAGUCAAAGCGAGGGCCUCCCCACUUGGCCCUUCUGCCCCAAGCAACCUCUUCCGAAACCCCAGGUUAAGCCGGCCUCUCAGGGAGGGGGCAAAAGGAUGGCGGGCCCUCUGAGCAUGUGCAGAGGGCCUUUCCCACCCUCCCCCACCGUUUCCAGGCUGGAGCUCCCCUGCUACCAAGACCCUCCCCACAGUUUCCUGCCAGGAAAGCAGCCCAGCCUGGAGCCAGGGGCCCCUAACACCCCACCUCCCCUCUGUGUCCCCAGGGCCGUCUCCCUCUUGUGACCCGGGGCGAGGGUCAGCGAAAGGCCUCAGGGCGGCCUCCGAGAACUGGCUCCCUCAGGAAAGCUCAAGCGAGGCAGCACCUGGCAUCGCAGCGGCAGCCGUGGGCCCCCCCAGCCCUGCACCCAGGUGGCCCCGGGGGCCCUGCAGGCAAAGUUGGGCCCUCUGAGACAGAUAAAGUGACUGAUGCCCGACUCAGGAGUGUGUUUUUCUGCCCUGCAUGACCGGGAGGCAGCGGAGGACUGGACGGGAGGUCUGUCCUCCCAUUUUCCUUGACCCCCUAGUCACUUUCCCUUCCCAUUUAAGGCACUUUGGACCAUUGAGGGUUGCAAUACGUACAAGAGAGAACAUGAGAUAAUUAAACCAUAUGUGGAAGAUGAAAAGCGUGUGAUAACAGCCCGAACCAGAAUCAGUUGCUAAAUUACAGAUUGCUGUUCCAAACUAAGAAGAUGCAAAGACAUUUAUCAUGGUCUAGAAUAGACAUGAUAUGGAUGACAAUGGAAUUGUCUUCUAAUAUAGAAGAAAUUGAUACAGAAACCAAUACCUGGGCAGACCAUAACCCUAUGAUGAUGAAAUGGAAAGGACAAAGGAGAAGAUCUAGAUGGACCCUAAAUAACACAGUAUUAAAAGACAAGGAAUUUGUACAGAAAAUGGAGGAAGAAUUGGCUUUCUUUUUUAAAGAAAAUAGAAAAGAGGACACAUCAAUACAAAAUUUGUGGGAUACAAUGAAGGCCUAUGCUAGAGGUCUGAUAAUAGACUAUACAAGGAAAAGAAAUAUUAAGAAAAGACAAGCUUAUAAAAUACUAGAGGAUGAUCACAAGAAACUGGAGAAAGAAUUACAAAAAUUUCCACAAAAAAGGACAUUAAAAUAAAAAUGGACACAAUUAAACAUAAAAUGGGAUUAAUAAAAAAAGAGGACUUAGCGCAAAAAAUUAGAAGUGCAAAACAGAAUUAUUUUGAAGAUGUUAAUAAAUGAGAUAGAUGGUUAGCAUGCAAAUUGAAAAAAGAGAGAAUUAAGAAAAAUAACCCGGCUAGUGGAUGACCAAGAACAAAUCAGAGAGGGGAAUGAAGAGAAGAAAAAAAUUAUACAAGACUAUUAUAGAAAAUUGUAUGAGAAAGAGAAUAUAGAGGAGGAAAGUGUUAAACGAUAGUUGCAAAAAGCGAGUUUACCUCAGAUUCCUAAAGAUACUGAAAUGAUAUUAGAAGGAAAUAUAACGACGGUGGAACUAACAGAAGCAUUUAAAAAACAAAAGAACAGGAAGGCACCAGGCCCAGAUGGACUACCAGCGGAAUACUAUAAGACAUUACAGGAAUCGUUUAAUCCCCCAUUGUUAGAAGUCAUGAAUGAAGUUAUGUUAAAGAUGAAACUACCUAAGUCAUGGUCAGAAGCUUAUAUUACACUUAUUCCAAAGGAGGAUACUGACUUACAGCAAAUUAAGAAUUACAGGCCUAUAUCCUUGUUGUUGUUUUUUUGUUGUUUUUUUGUUUACAUUUAUACCCCGCCCUUCUCCGAAGACUCAGGGCGGCUUACAGUGUAUAAGGCAAUAGUCUCAUUCUAUUUGUAUAUUUUUACAAAGUCAACUUAUUGCCCCCCCAACAAUCUGGGUCCCUUGUUAAACUCAGACUAUAAAAUCUUUGCUUCAAUAUUGGCAGAAAGACUUAAAAGAUAUUUAAAUAAUUUUAUACGUUCUGAUCAAAAUGGGUUUCUGCCAAAAAGACAGAUUAAAGAUAAUAUGAGGAUAAUUCUGGAUACCUUGGAAUACUAUGAGGCACAUCCCGAAAAGCAAAUGGCUUUGAUAUUUCUUGAUACACAGAAAGCGUUUGAUAAUGUGAAUUGGCGAUUUAUGCUAUUACAAUUGGAACAGAUGGGCUUUGGUAGAAAGUUUAUCCAGGCCAUAGAAGCCAUAUACUAUAAACAAACAGCAAAAGUAAUGAUAAACGGAGAAUUGACAGAGUCUAUUGAAAUAAAAAAAGGAACAAGACAGGGUUGUCCACUGUCACCUCUGUUGUUUGUACUAACAUUAGAAGUGUUAAAUAGAAAUAUUAGAGAAGAAAAAGACAUAUAAGGCAUGACAAUUCAAAAGGAAGAAUAUAAAUUACAAGCAUUUGCAGAUGACCUGGUUUUUAUUUUGGAAGAUCCAUUAGAAUCAAUAACUAAACUGAUAGACGAGAUAGGAGAAUAUGGAAAAGUCGCAGGAUUGAAAAUAAACAAAGACAAAACCAAGAUUUUGACAAAAAACAUGUUAAAAAAACAAAAAACUGGUGGAACUAUCAAAGAUGCAGGUCACAAAUAAGGUGAAAUAUGUGGGAAUAUAUUUGACAGCAAGAUGCAGUACACUUAAAGAGAAUAACUAUAGUAAACUUAAAUAACAGAUAGUGCCAGAUUUUGCAAAGUGGGAGAAUUUACAACUAUCAUUGAUAGGGAGAAUAUCAACGAUUAAGAUGAAUAUAUUGCCUAGAAUUUUAUACUUGUUCCAGACAAUUCCAAUUAGGUUGGGGAAAGGAUAUUUUGAAGAAUUGAAUAAAAUAGUGUUGAAAUAUAUUUGGCAGGGCAAAAAAGCGAAGAUAAAAUUAAAACUGUUGCAAGACGCCAGAAUACAGGGAGGUUUUGGAUUGCCUAAUUGGGAAUUAUACUACCAAGCAACAAAUUUGAUGUGGAUCAAGGAAUGGAUAAUGUUAAGAAAUACUAGAAUAUUGACUUUAGUAGGACAUGACUUGUCGUUGGGAUGACAUACCUUCUUAUGGUACAAGGAAGCAAAAACACAAGGGUAUUUCAGAAGACAUUUUAUACGAGAGGCCUUGUUAUUAAAUUGGGAGAAGAUUAAGAGAUUACAUUAUUUAAAAAUUCCAGUCUGGUUAUCAACUAUUGAAGCAUUCUCAUAUUCAAUAACAUUCAGAAAGGAACAAAUUGUUAGAUACAGUGAAUUAUUGAAUGAAAAGAGUGAACUUAAAUCUAUGCAACAAUUAGAAAUACAAGGUAUAAAGAUGAAUUGGUUUUCUUACUUGCAAAUACAUUCUAGAUACGAUAAAAGAUUUUAAGACAGAAAGUUUUUAUAAUACUUUGACUAACUUAGAUAAAAUUUUAACAGGUACUGAUGAAAAUGUAAUUAAAAAAUUAUAUGGAUAUUUAUUAGAGGUUAAAUUGGAAGAACAACAAGUUAAAGAAACAAUGAUUGCUUGGGGGGAAAAUUUUGGACAUGGGAUUGACUUAGAGAAAUGGAAAAAAUUGUGGGUGCAAGAUUAUAAAAUGACAAUGUCAACUGCAGAUAAAGAGAAUCUGUAUAAGAUGUUUUACAGGUGGCAUCUACUUUCGACGAGAAUAACUAGAAUGUUCAAGAAUAAAUCCAAAAGAUGUUGGAAAUGUCAUCAGAUACCGGCUCAUAUUACCAUAUGUGGUGGAUGUGUGCAGAAGCGAGAAGAUAUUGGACUAAAAUCCACACGUGGUUGGAAAAAAUGAUAAAAAAGCACAUAGACUUUAAACCAGAGGUUUUUUUAUUGGGGAUCAUACCUGAAACAUACAAUAGAGAAUUGACAUAUUUGAUUGUGAAUGUAGUAACAGCGGCUAGAAUUGUGUUUGCUAAAAAUUGGAAAAAUGAGAAAAUACCAACGCAAGAUGAAGUCAUUAAGAAAAGAAUGGAAUGUGCUGAAAUGAGCAAAUUGACAUUUGAAAUUAGAGAACAGGAAGAUAAAUAAUAAGAUAUGGACUUAUUUUAUCAAUGGUUAGAUAAAAAAAUAUGGUAAUGAAGUUUGGUGGAGGUUUUUACAAUACAAGAAUUGUAGAAAUAUACAAAAUAGAACAUAAAGAUGUAUGAUUAUUGGAUUGAUUCAGGAUGAUGAAAUGAUUGCUACAAUAUGUUAACUUAAAUUUAAAACAUUUUGUAUGAAGUGUGGGAAGAAGUACCCAUAGUUAAAUAAAUGACUAAUGAGGGCAAAAAUAUUUGGAUAUAUACCAGAUUGAUAAAACAUGAAAUUAGAUGAACUACAAACUAUGAAUACGGUAAAAAUGCACAAAAGAUUUGUAACCAACUGACACACUCUUUGUAUUUGUAAUUGAAGAAGAUGUUAUG